AUGAACGCUGGCGGCGUGCCUAAUACAUGCAAGUCGAGCGAACAGACGAGGAGCUUGCUCCUCUGACGUUAGCGGCGGACGGGUGAGUAACACGUGGAUAACCUACCUAUAAGACUGGGAUAACUUCGGGAAACCGGAGCUAAUACCGGAUAAUAUAUUGAACCGCAUGGUUCAAUAGUGAAAGACGGUUUUGCUGUCACUUAUAGAUGGAUCCGCGCCGCAUUAGCUAGUUGGUAAGGUAACGGCUUACCAAGGCAACGACGCGUAGCCGACCUGAGAGGGUGAUCGGCCACACUGGAACUGAGACACGGUCCAGACUCCUACGGGAGGCAGCAGUAGGGAAUCUUCCGCAAUGGGCGAAAGCCUGACGGAGCAACGCCGCGUGAGUGAUGAAGGUCUUCGGAUCGUAAAACUCUGUUAUUAGGGAAGAACAAAUGUGUAAGUAACUAUGCACGUCUUGACGGUACCUAAUCAGAAAGCCACGGCUAACUACGUG
Molecule: ribosomal RNA, 496 nt
Filed under: uncultured bacterium
Lineage: Bacteria
Description: partial 16S ribosomal RNA
Rfam family: Bacterial small subunit ribosomal RNA
Source: RNAcentral